This 580-nucleotide long non-coding RNA is filed under the name Olea europaea subsp. europaea. Lineage: Eukaryota; Viridiplantae; Streptophyta; Magnoliopsida; Lamiales; Oleaceae. The record is from RNAcentral.
AUAAUUUUACCAAAAUAUUGCUACCUUAUCUUGAUUUUAACACUUCCAUUUUUUAAUGGUUGUUGUUUGUUCUUGGUUUGUAGAUGUGAAAAGGGAGCUAAGGGAUUAUUGUCCCCCUCUUCUGAAUCUUGCUUGAGCCGGAUGAUAAAAAUUAUCAUGUCCGGUUCCUUCGGGGGAUGGAUCUAUAAGAAUUCACCUAUCCCAAUAACAAAAAAAACCUGAUUUGAAUGAUCCUGUAUUAAGAGCUAAAUUGGCUAAAGGUAUGGGUCAUAAUUAUUACGGAGAACCCGCAUGGCCCAAUGAUCUUUUAUAUAUUUUUCCAGUAGUAAUUUUAGGUACUAUUGCAUGUAAUGUAGGCUUAGUGGUUCUAGAACCAUCAAUGAUUGGUGAACCGGCAGAUCCGUUUGCAACCCCUUUGGAAAUAUUACCUGAAUGGUAUUUCUUCCCCGUAUUUCAAAUACUUCCAUUUUUCACUUCGCGGCGGAAAUAUAUCAUAUUUGGAACAUAUUUUCCUACGACAUUUAGAAUUUCUGUCAAUCUCAAUGGUAAAUUGGUAGUCCAACGGUUAUUUGGGAUUCUA